CCUACGGGAGGCAGCAGUGGGGAAUAUUGGACAAUGGGCGCAAGCCUGAUCCAGCAAUGCCGCGUGAGUGAUGAAGGCCUUAGGGUUGUAAAGCUCUUUCGCACGCGACGAUGAUGACGGUAGCGUGAGAAGAAGCCCCGGCUAACUUCGUGCCAGCAGCCGCGGUAAUACGAAGGGGGCUAGCGUUGUUCGGAAUUACUGGGCGUAAAGGGCGCGUAGGCGGCCUGUUUAGUCAGAAGUGAAAGCCCCGGGCUCAACCUGGGAAUAGCUUUUGAUACUGGCAGGCUUGAGUUCCGGAGAGGAUGGUGGAAUUCCCAGUGUAGAGGUGAAAUUCGUAGAUAUUGGGAAGAACACCGGUGGCGAAGGCGGCCAUCUGGACGGACACUGACGCUGAGGCGCGAAAGCGUGGGGAGCAAACAGGAUUAGAUACCCUGGUAGUCCACGCCGUAAACGAUAGAAUGCUAGACGGUCGGGGUGCAUGCACUCGGUGUCGCCGCUACGCAUAAGACACUCCGUCCGUCGGGAGGUACGGCCGCGAAGUUAAACGUAACGAAAGUAAGUAGUAGUUCGNGUAGAGUUGCGACGACGACGACGAGGGAGGAGG
Molecule: ribosomal RNA, 604 nt
Filed under: uncultured bacterium
Lineage: Bacteria
Description: bacterial SSU rRNA
Rfam family: Bacterial small subunit ribosomal RNA (bases 1-517)
Source: RNAcentral